CUCUGAUGUCUUUUCCACAGAAGAGCAUUUUGCAGAGGAAAAUACUACAGUAGCAAUUAACUACAAACAAUGUACCACUUCCAAAUUGUGAAGGAUUGUGUGGGCUGGCCCUACCUUAUGAAUUUGUGGAUCUGACAGAAUGAAGCCACUGAAGGGCAUUUCUGGUGGCCUGAUCACUGAUGUUCCAUUUCAAGUGUGCCACCUCUACCAAGGCUCAUGAGAAAUGCCAGCAGCUCUUUGUAAAGCGAUCACUGUUCAAAAUAACAGAAGCAUUCAUGAUGGGGAACAUUAGGAAUAAAUUCAAGGUUCGAGACUGGACCAGGUAUGUCAUUAAAUGCAUACAAGAGCAAAAGCUGUAAGUCCCUGCAUCAAACA
Long non-coding RNA from Equus caballus (horse), 375 nucleotides. RefSeq lists it as uncharacterized. NCBI's taxonomy places the organism in Eukaryota, Metazoa, Chordata, Mammalia, Perissodactyla, Equidae. The record is from RefSeq and is a predicted model, not a curated record.